UGUGAAAAAAAAGUUUGGUUC
This 21-nucleotide non-coding RNA is filed under the name Caenorhabditis elegans. The record is from RNAcentral. Lineage: Eukaryota; Metazoa; Nematoda; Chromadorea; Rhabditida; Rhabditidae.